RNAcentral lists this ribosomal RNA (636 nucleotides) under Triticum aestivum (bread wheat). RNAcentral's name for it is "partial small subunit ribosomal RNA". The record is from RNAcentral. Lineage: Eukaryota; Viridiplantae; Streptophyta; Magnoliopsida; Poales; Poaceae.
GGCACGUCGACGAACGUGGCGCGGGUGCUGCUCUGCCUGGAGGAGGUGGGCGCCGAGUACGAGCUGGUGCCCGUCGACUUCCUCGCCGGCGAGCACAACACCCCCGAGCACGCCCAGCGAGACCCAUUCGGGAAGAUCCCCGCGUUCCAAGACGGCGACCUCGUCCUGUUCGAGUCCCGCGCGAUCGCGAGGUACAUCCUCCGCAAGUACAGGGCGCCGGGCUCGCCGGACCUGCUGGGAGAGAACGGCGGCGCCGAGGAGGCGGCGAUGGUGGACAUGUGGAUGGAGGUGGAGGCCCAGCAGUACCACCCGGCCAUCUCGCCGGUGGUGUUCGAGUGCAUCAUCUUCCCCGUCAUGCGCGGCGCCAAGACGGACCAGAAGGUCGUCGACGAGAGCCUGAAGAGGCUGCGGGGUGUGCUGGGGACGUACGAGGAGCGCCUGUCCAGGAGCAGGUACCUGGCCGGGGACUCCUUCAGCUUCGCGGACCUCAACCACUUCCCCUUCACCUUCUACUUCAUGGCCACCCCGUACGCGGCCCUCUUCGACGAGUACCCCAGGGUGAAGGCCUGGUGGGAGGACCUCAUGGCCAGCCCCUCGGUCGAGAGGGUCUGCGCCAAUAUGCCUACCAAGUUCUAG